Molecule: ribosomal RNA, 389 nt
Filed under: uncultured bacterium
Lineage: Bacteria
Description: bacterial SSU rRNA
Rfam family: Bacterial small subunit ribosomal RNA
Source: RNAcentral
GACGAACGCUGGCGGCGUGCUUAACACAUGCAAGUCGAGCGGUAAGGCCCUUUCGGGGGUACACGAGCGGCGAACGGGUGAGUAACACGUGGGUGACCUGCCCUCAGCUCUGGGAUAAGCCUGGGAAACCGGGUCUAAUACCGGAUAUGACUCCAUGACGCAUGUUGUGGGGUGGAAAGCCUUGUGCGGCUGAGGAUGGGCCCGCGGCCUAUCAGCUUGUUGGUGGGGUGAUGGCCUACCAAGGCGACGACGGGUAGCCGGCCUCGAGAGGGCGACCGGCCACACUGGGACUGAGACACGGCCCAGACUCCUACGGGAGGCAGCAGUGGGGAAUCUUGCGCAAUGGGCGAAAGCCUGACGCAGCGACGCCGCGUGAGGGAUGACGGCCU